This 254-nucleotide ribosomal RNA is filed under the name uncultured bacterium. Its description in RNAcentral is "partial 16S ribosomal RNA". It matches the Rfam family "Bacterial small subunit ribosomal RNA", at positions 524 to 777 of the family's 1533-position model. The record is from RNAcentral.
GACAGAGGGUGCAAACGUUGUUCGGAAUUACUGGGCGUAAAGCGCGUGUAGGCUGCUCUGCAAGUCGGAUGUGAAAGCCCUGGGCUCAACCUAGGAAGUGCACUCGAAACUGCAGAGCUUGAGUCUCGGAGAGGAUCGCGGAAUUCUCGGUGUAGAGGUGAAAUUCGUAGAUAUCGAGAGGAACACCGGUGGCGAAGGCGGCGAUCUGGGUAGAUACUGACGCUGAUGCGCGACAGCGUGGGGAGCAAACAGGG